This 471-nucleotide ribosomal RNA is filed under the name uncultured bacterium. RNAcentral's name for it is "bacterial SSU rRNA". It matches the Rfam family "Bacterial small subunit ribosomal RNA", at positions 355 to 825 of the family's 1533-position model. The record is from RNAcentral.
UGGGGAAUCUUGCGCAAUGGGCGAAAGCCUGACGCAGCGACGCCGCGUGAGUGAUGAAGGCCUUCGGGUUGUAAAGCUCUGUGGGGAGAGAAGAAUAAGUGCGGGCUAAUACCCCGCAUGAUGACGGUAUCUCCUUAGCAAGCACCGGCUAACUCUGUGCCAGCAGCCGCGGUAAGACAGAGGGUGCAAACGUUGUUCGGAAUUACUGGGCGUAAAGCGAGUGUAGGCGGUUUGGUAAGUCGGAUGUGAAAGCCCCGGGCUCAACCCGGGAAGUGCAUUCGAUACUGCCAAGCUAGAGUAUCGGAGAGGUUGGUGGAAUUCUCGGUGUAGAGGUGAAAUUCGUAGAUAUCGAGAGGAACACCGGUGGCGAAGGCGGCCAACUGGACGAAUACUGACGCUGAGACUCGAAAGCGUGGGGAGCAAACAGGAUUAGAUACCCUGGUAGUCCCUGAGCGGGCUGGCAAGGCGCAU